This 228-nucleotide ribosomal RNA is filed under the name uncultured bacterium. RNAcentral's name for it is "partial 16S ribosomal RNA". It matches the Rfam family "Bacterial small subunit ribosomal RNA", at positions 15 to 244 of the family's 1533-position model. The record is from RNAcentral.
GAUCCUGGCUCAGGAUGAACGCUGACAGAAUGCUUAACACAUGCAAGUCGAUGGGGAAGUGGUGCUUGCACCAUGGUAACCAUGGCGGACGGGUGAGUAACGCGUAAGGAACUUGCCUGCGGGACUGGGAUAACAGCAGGAAACUGCUGACAAGACCGGGUAAGGUCAUUAAGCUGCAUAGCUUAGUGAUGAAAGGAGACGCCUGCGGAGAGCCUUGCGUCCUAUUAG